CAACAGGGGAGCUCGCCGGAGCGGGCUGAGAGUGGGCUGUAUCGCCCAGACCCUUCAACCUGAUUUGGAUAAUGCCAACGUAGGGACAU
This 89-nucleotide non-coding RNA is filed under the name human gut metagenome. Its description in RNAcentral is "TPP riboswitch (THI element)". It matches the Rfam family "TPP riboswitch aptamer (THI element)", at positions 11 to 88 of the family's 105-position model. Rfam says of the family: Vitamin B(1) in its active form thiamin pyrophosphate (TPP) is an essential coenzyme that is synthesised by coupling of pyrimidine and thiazole moieties in bacteria. The previously detected thiamin-regulatory element, thi box was extended, resulting in a new, highly conserved RNA secondary structure, the THI element, which is widely distributed in eubacteria and also occurs in some archaea. Analysis of operon structures identified a large number of new candidate thiamin-regulated genes, mostly transporters, in various prokaryotic organisms. The record is from RNAcentral.